GCGGGAUGCUUUACACAUGCAAGUCGAACGGCAGCACGAGGAGCUUGCUCCUUGGUGGCGAGUGGCGAACGGGUGAGUAAUAUAUCGGAACAUGCCCAGUAGCGGGGGAUAACUACUCGAAAGAGUGGCUAAUACCGCAUACGUCCUACGGGAGAAAGCAGGGGACCUUCGGGCCUUGCACUAUUGGAGUGGCCGAGAUCGGAUUAGCUAGUUGGUGGGGUAAAGGCCUACCAAGGCGACGAUCCGUAGCUGGUUUGAGAGGACGACCAGCCACACUGGGACUGAGACACGGCCCAGACUCCUACGGGAGGCAGCAGUGGGGAAUUUUGGACAAUGGGGGAAACCCUGAUCCAGCCAUCCCGCGUGUGCGAUGAAGGCCUCGGGUUGUAAAGCACUUCUGUCAGGAAAGAAAUCGCCCGGGAUAAUACCUCGGGUGGAUGACGGUACCUGAAGAAUAAGCACCGGCUAACUACGUGCCAGCAGCCGCGG
This 489-nucleotide ribosomal RNA is filed under the name Alcaligenes sp. TERIPS9007. RNAcentral's name for it is "bacterial SSU rRNA". It matches the Rfam family "Bacterial small subunit ribosomal RNA", at positions 39 to 520 of the family's 1533-position model. The record is from RNAcentral. Lineage: Bacteria; Pseudomonadati; Pseudomonadota; Betaproteobacteria; Burkholderiales; Alcaligenaceae.